UACAGAGGUCCCGAGCGUUGUUCGGAUUCAUUGGGCGUAAAGGGUGCGUGGGCGGCGCGGUAAGUCGGGUGUGAAAUCUCGGAGCUUAACUUCGAAACUGCAUUCGAUACUGCCGUGCUUGAGGACUGGAGAGGAGACUGGAAUUUACGGUGUAGCGGUGAAAUGCGUAGAUAUCGUAAGGAAGACCAGUGGCGAAGGCGGGUCUCUGGACAGUUCCUGACGCUGAGGCACGAAGGUCAGGGGAGCAAACGGG
This 253-nucleotide ribosomal RNA is filed under the name uncultured bacterium. RNAcentral's name for it is "partial 16S ribosomal RNA". It matches the Rfam family "Bacterial small subunit ribosomal RNA", at positions 524 to 776 of the family's 1533-position model. The record is from RNAcentral.